GAGGUUGUGGCGCUUUUGGUAGAGCGCUUACCUAGCAUGUGCGAGGUACUGGGUUCGAUUCUCAGCACCUCA
This 72-nucleotide transfer RNA is filed under the name Marmota monax (woodchuck). Its description in RNAcentral is "tRNA.Ala". Lineage: Eukaryota; Metazoa; Chordata; Mammalia; Rodentia; Sciuridae. The record is from RNAcentral.